GGACGAAGGGCGAAGGGUUAAUAGCCCCUAGCCUGACGGUACCCUUCGAGGAAGCCCCGGCUAACUACGUGCCAGCAGCCGCGGUAAUACGUAGGGGGCGAGCGUUGUCCGGAAUUAUUGGGCGUAAAGAGCGUGUAGGCGGUCCGGUAAGUCCGCCGUGAAAACCCGGGGCUCAACCCCGGGCUUGCGGUGGAUACUGUCGGGCUAGAGGAUGGUAGAGGGGAGUGGAAUUCCCGGUGUAGCGGUGAAAUGCGCAGAUAUCGGGAGGAACACCAGUAGCGAAGGCGGCUCCCUGGGCCAUUCCUGACGCUGAGACGCGAAAGCUAGGGGAGCGAACAGGAUUAGAUACCCUGGUAGUCCUAGCCGUAAACGAUGAACACUAGGUGUGGGGGGAGUCGAAUCUCUCCGUGCCGCAGCCAACGCGAUAAGUGUUCCGCCUGGGGAGUACGGCCGCAAGGCUAAAACUCAAAGGAAUUGACGGGGGCCCGCACAAGCAGCGGAGCAUGUUCUUUAAUUCGAUGCAACGCGAAGAACCUUACCUGGGCUUGACAUGGCGCUGCAAGCGCACGGAAACGUGUGACCUUCGAGGGUGCGCCACAGAUGCUGCAUGGCUGUCGUCA
RNAcentral lists this ribosomal RNA (620 nucleotides) under uncultured bacterium. Its description in RNAcentral is "bacterial SSU rRNA". It matches the Rfam family "Bacterial small subunit ribosomal RNA", at positions 434 to 1057 of the family's 1533-position model. The record is from RNAcentral.